ACCUGGCUGGCUCAGUCAGUAGAUCAUGUGACUCAUGAUCUCAGGGUUGUGGGUUCAAGCCCCACGUUGGGUG
Non-coding RNA from Acinonyx jubatus (cheetah), 73 nucleotides. NCBI's taxonomy places the organism in Eukaryota, Metazoa, Chordata, Mammalia, Carnivora, Felidae. The record is from the annotation of a RefSeq genome assembly.